GUCAUGCUCGUCGGCAACGGCCCAAUGGGCGUUUUUUCUUCUGAAAAGGUCCACGGGCCAACCUAGCCUCCCUCCAUCAGCCUAACGGGCCUUAAGGCCCAGUGAGCAGUGCAUCGGAUCCUCUCGGUCCGCGAGGACCGCGACGCGCACCGGAGCGAAAGCGACGGCCGCCCUCUCUGCUCCGCCCUGAGGAGACAGGAACGCGCACCGCCGCAGCGGCGGAAGCAUCCGCGUCGGUGUCGACCUCGCCGUCUCGCUUCCUUCGAUGCUUCCGCCGGAGUCGACGCCGGCAAGUGAUAGCGGUUAAUAACUGAUGGAAGUAUGGAACUAUUUGUAGUCAGUAGUCACGUUCCGAGUCUCGUGUAUAUAGCUUGUCUGCUAAAUGACACACGUUGACUGCAGAAACAGAAACUGCUGAAGUCAGGAAAUUGACUUGACAGGUGCAGCCUCAAGAUUGGAGUUGCUUUCUUAAUUACAGAAACCCAAACUUGAAGCUGCACCAAUAUGCUUUCCUAUUUCCAUCGUCAUGCUGAUAUACAUCCAAUAAUACAGCUCGUACGUCCAAGCAGACACAGGAUAUAAACAAAGAAAAUUAAAGUGCAUAUGCCACAUAAGUUGAACCAGCAGGGUAAGUCACUGGAUCACUUCUCUCUGCGGAAAAGCUAUCGUCAAUCAUCACAGUUGGGGUCCUGGGGAGAAAGAGGUGGCAUGAGAUGUUCGUAUUCCAGGACAGAGGGCAUCUCCCUUUUGUUUACCCCGGCAGCUAGCUUGCAAAUCCAAUCAGAAAUCUUUGCUUCUCCAAUCCAAGAAGAUGCACGUUGGCGCCGCUGAAUAUGUCUGCCAUCGGUGAAGAACCGGGGGUCUCCUAUAAUUGCAAAGAUAAUUGCACAGGACUUGCAGUUGAGCCAGGAAAUAAAAGGACUUUUAGAAUUACGAGCCAGUAAAAUGAGCUCGCUCACUGACUCACUCGCUCCAGAUGACACCUCCAGAUAACCCUGCCCAGAAGAGGUGAGCUCCCUCCGGGCAUGGGCGGCAGCAGGACGGCAAUUAGCAAGGCUGGCAUUAGAAGAUCACGGGGGAAGGGAAGGCAAGUUUGACGGAUGAAGCGAGAGGCAUCUUUUCUUUUCUUACGGGGUCCCCUCCAAGAACAUAGGUCCACCCCCUCUCCCUCCCUACCCUACAGUACGCCCCCAACAAUCCAUGAUCCAUCUCGAUUAAUUUGGGACAGAGGGACUGGAGUAUAUAUACUUGCCUAUGAACACGUGUGCUUUAAUUUUUACGUGGUCACAGACACAGCAAGUGAAUGUUGCUGGGGACUGGGAAUAUCGAUCCCUUUUUAGGCGUGUGAUCUCGUCCUUGUCCACGGCUAGCUGUCAGCCGAGUGUGCAUGUGUGGUAUGCAUGCGUCCAUAUAUAGCCAGUUUUUUUUUUUGUGAUUUUCCUGUAUCAAAUAAACAAAAUCGAUCCUAACGCUUGGUUGGCUAUGUGGAAAGCAUGCACGGACGCAUGUGCGCUCAAUAGCAAUAGAAUGGCGUAAUCGGCAAGAAUCUAAGGUAACAUGGCCUGCUUGCAUUGCCUGCCGCAUAGGUUUGCGGCAAUAUCGAUUUUCCCGUUUUUAAGUAGUACAUGAGAGCGCACGUACAUGUAUCACGCCCCGCG
Long non-coding RNA from Brachypodium distachyon (stiff brome), 1658 nucleotides. RefSeq lists it as uncharacterized. Lineage: Eukaryota; Viridiplantae; Streptophyta; Magnoliopsida; Poales; Poaceae. The transcript has 8 exons. The record is from RefSeq and is a predicted model, not a curated record.